AAUAAGAGAAUGACAAAUUAGAUUUUUCUUCUUGAUUUCAGCUUUUUCCUUUUGAAAAAAAUUCAAAUCAAACUAGAAAUUGCUAGAAAUCAAGAAGAAAAAUUUUGAUUUGCCAUUUUCUUAUU
Molecule: non-coding RNA, 125 nt
Organism: Gossypium arboreum
Lineage: Eukaryota; Viridiplantae; Streptophyta; Magnoliopsida; Malvales; Malvaceae
Source: Rfam